This 467-nucleotide ribosomal RNA is filed under the name uncultured bacterium. Its description in RNAcentral is "partial 16S ribosomal RNA". It matches the Rfam family "Bacterial small subunit ribosomal RNA", at positions 29 to 507 of the family's 1533-position model. The record is from RNAcentral.
ACGCACGCUGGCGGCGUGCUUCACCCAUGCAAGUCGCACGGAAAGGCCCUGCUUUUGUGGGGUGCUCGAGUGGCGAACGGGUGAGUAACACGUGAGUAACCUGCCCUUGACUUUGGGAUAACUUCAGGAAACUGGGGCUAAUACCGGAUAGGAGCUCCUGCUGCAUGGUGGGGGUUGGAAAGUUUCGGCGGUUGGGGAUGGACUCGCGGCUUAUCAGCUUGUUGGUGGGGUAGUGGCUUACCAAGGCUUUGACGGGUAGCCGGCCUGAGAGGGUGACCGGCCACAUUGGGACUGAGAUACGGCCCAGACUCCUACGGGAGGCAGCAGUGGGGAAUAUUGCACAAUGGGCGGAAGCCUGAUGCAGCAACGCCGCGUGCGGGAUGACGGCCUUCGGGUUGUAAACCGCUUUCGCCUGUGACGAAGCAUGAGUGACGGUAAUGGGUAAAGAAGCACCGGCUAACUACGUG